This 72-nucleotide transfer RNA is filed under the name Novipirellula herctigrandis. Its description in RNAcentral is "Planctomycetes bacterium CA13 tRNA-Cys". It matches the Rfam family "tRNA". From Rfam's summary of the family: Transfer RNA (tRNA) molecules are approximately 80 nucleotides in length. Their secondary structure includes four short double-helical elements and three loops (D, anti-codon, and T loops). The record is from RNAcentral. Lineage: Bacteria; Pseudomonadati; Planctomycetota; Planctomycetia; Pirellulales; Pirellulaceae.
AACGCUGGAGCCAGACGGCAAGGCAUCCGACUGCAACUCGGACGAAGUGGGUUCGACUCCCACCGGCGUUUC